Long non-coding RNA from Ostrinia nubilalis (European corn borer), 2469 nucleotides. RefSeq lists it as uncharacterized. The record is from RefSeq and is a predicted model, not a curated record. The transcript has 2 exons. NCBI's taxonomy places the organism in Eukaryota, Metazoa, Arthropoda, Insecta, Lepidoptera, Crambidae.
UAAGGCCUUUCAAAAAACUGAUUUCUUUUUCUGGGAUAUUCACUCUAAUGACGAAUACAUAAAUAGUAAAUAUCUGUUAAUGUCGAAAUAUUGCCAAUUAAAAAGGCGAUCUUUUUUUUACUGAUAGUCUGAUGACAUGAUGUAGAUCAAUCAGAUUACGCAACAAGUAAACUAAUUUAAUUUUCGCUAGGUAUUCAAUCACACACUCACGAUGGCAACCGGAAUCGCCCGAUUGAUCUGCCCCUUAGACAAGUUGCAAAAUCUGACAUUCUAUUCGGAUUCGAACAGAUUCGAUUUUCGAAAAGUGUGACUUGUCUAGUCUACUAGACCCACUGAUCGCGUUCGAAGCACCUGUGCGGCGCUAAACUCGUCACAACAUGCAACGAGAUAAUGGUCCAACUAUCCGGCCGCCGGAUAUCCGGCUAUCCGGCCUAGCAGCUGGCCGGAUAUCCGGUAUCCGGCCAAACAACUAUCCGUUUCAUCUCUAGUAAAGAUAACGGAUUAUAUUAUAAAGAAGCGUAACGGAAUAUGUCUCAAUUUCCUUAUUAUACCGUGUGGCCUUGCAUAAAGUACAACCCGGGAAGGGGGUGAAACUACAUCAUAAAUUAUUAUCGAUAAAACAUAUUCUUUAUAAUACAAUUUUUGUAAAUAAAAAAAAUAUGAACUGAUCAAAUUUCUAUAGAUCUAUAGACAUUUUAUUACAAAAUUUGUAAUAGUUUAUGCAGGACCACACCGUAUUAUUAGAAAGAGUCACGAAAGGCGGAGCCAUGAUAACUUCUUCGAAAAGUGUGUCAGGCGGGGCCUUGUUCUACUUAUCAUUAAACGCGCGAGCGAUACUCGCAUCUAACGCAUUCCAUUAUUGAUAAAAUUCAAAUUAAAUUAAUUAUUAAGGAUUAAAAUAUGUAAUCAGGUGAUAAUUUAUCAACAAAGGAAUUUUACUUGUGUUCGUAAUUUUCGCUGACGUCGAAUUAUUCGCGCCAAUAAUGGUUGCAGAAAUCUGCAUCAGUAGGCAUAGCUUAAAAAUUGUAUACAAAAAGUUAACAAUUUAUACGGUAAACGUUAAUUGUUUCUAAUUGGAAUUGAUAAGAUUAAUUAAUAAUUGAAAAGGAAUUGAUUUUAUAAAAUUGACUUUUGUGUCAUUGAAACAGAAACUGGAUUUAAUGUAUCAAACAGAAGUACACCACUCACUUGUAGGGAGCGUUGAAUUCGGAUAUAGUAUCAGUCAAUACUCAAUACUCAAGUAUUGAGUCUUCCCUAGAAUGGCUUUUAAUGAAAUACGGUAUGUUUAUUGGUUCAUGAAUAUUAAGUAAUGAUUUAGUGGAAACUUAUUCGAGUUACACUGAGUAUCCAGAUCCAGAUUAGUUGAUUAGCACUAUAUUAUGUCUAUUAUGUGUUGAUUGUUGUGUUAAAUACAUUAUGUAAGUUUACAUACAUUUACAUGUUAAAUCUUGCAAAGUAACAAAUGUAGUGAAGUUUUAACUGUCAUUUUCGAUCCUGAUGAUGUUGGCCUCUUCCUGGCGUCUGAUAUAUCUAUUAUAUCGGUAUAAUUCCCAUGGAUUAAAGAAGUCAGUUGUAUUUAAGGCAUCAUAUCAAUAGUUUACUUGUCGUCAAAUCUUACGGUAGCGAUUGCUACUGGCCCUCCCUAAAUUGGUGAAGUUUUACAAACCGUAAUAAUUUGAGGAGUCUUUCUUAUAUUAAAAUUAUUAAUUAUAUUUUUUUUGUACAAAAAGUAUUUAAAAAUGAAUAAAUAUUAACUUGCUGGCUUGGGCAUUGCUCUCGCAUCCGUAAGACUUGAUACAUAAGCCUAGACUUGCACUGACUCCUAGAAUCCAUGUCGUAGACGAGUGUUCGGGAGACACGCCUUCUGCCCAUAGACGACAACAUUGAACCUCAGUGCAUUAAAUGUAUCGUAACCUUAGAAUUAAGUCUAACCGUGUAUGGAUCCUAAAUUCUACACAUUCACUAUAUCGCAGUGCCUACCUUUUUGUUAUAAAAGAGUAACGUUUUCACUAUUUAUAUGUAUUUUUAUAAGUGUAUAGUGAAGAAUGAGUACUGUGACGAACCAAACCAAUUGGUCUUGCAAGUUUGGACAAACCUGUCAAGAGCGCGGUAGGUCAGAGGGAGAGGGAGCGCGCCAGCCGUCGCGCGUCGGCCCGAGUGGUAGGAGGCCGCGGCCCGGUGGUAGGAGGCCGCGGCCUGGUGGUAGGAGGCCGCGGCCCGGUGGUGGGGGCAGCGGCCCGGUGGCAGCAGGUCGCGGCCCGGUGGAAGCGGGCCGCAGCCCCAUGCCCCGCUGCGAGUGGCGCGCUUCAGGUUGUUUCCAGUGAUUAAGGUUUAAUUAUGCCAUCGACUCGGUGCGAAUUGACAUACCUACCUACAUAGAUAGAAUUAAUUUAAAAUUGCGGCCUGGCCCUAUAUAGUUUAUGUUAAAAAUAUCAUACAUUAUUGUGAUUAUUAAAGUGUUGAACGAUA